RNAcentral lists this long non-coding RNA (326 nucleotides) under Sorghum bicolor (sorghum). RNAcentral's name for it is "long non-coding RNA (SBIC_LNC000473)". The record is from RNAcentral. Lineage: Eukaryota; Viridiplantae; Streptophyta; Magnoliopsida; Poales; Poaceae.
CUACAACAACACCCAAACAAAUGUUGCAAUAUAUACGCAACAACUACUGCAACAUGCAGAUUAAAGUAAUUGAAACAACAUAUCAAAAGCAGUAUUGUAACAACGAAUCAAACCUACUGCAACAUCUAAAAAGAACCAUUACAACAAACAUCGAAAUAUGAAGCCGAGAGCUUGCCGAAAUCCUAACCUGUUGCAACAUCACAUGAAAAUAUACUACAACAACACGAGAACACAUUUGCAACACGCACGAGAGCUGAACUCCAAGACCUCGUCGAAACCCUAACCACCACCAUAUCUCUUAGAUCGAGAGAGAGAGAAAGAGAGAG